UUGCAGCCAGUUAAGCCGACUGUGCUCUUUUCCCCAUGGGGGCCCACUGCGCAAUGACUGCAAACAGCCUCCUCGGUAGUGUAUGCAGCCUGUUGCCUGUAUGGGUUGCCCUAAGGGACCUUGGAGACAGCC
This 132-nucleotide small nucleolar RNA is filed under the name Phocoena sinus (vaquita). RNAcentral describes it as "Small nucleolar RNA SNORA70 (ENSPSNG00000005390.1)". It matches the Rfam family "Small nucleolar RNA SNORA70". Rfam says of the family: snoRNA U70 seems to be exclusive to mammals and is a member of the H/ACA class of snoRNA which contain H (ANANNA) and ACA box motifs. The record is from Rfam by way of RNAcentral. Lineage: Eukaryota; Metazoa; Chordata; Mammalia; Artiodactyla; Phocoenidae.